CCGCGAUUCGCCCUUCGGGGUGCACCAGGCGCGAAAACUUUACAAUGCUGGCAACAGCGAUAAGGGGACCCCGAGUGCCAGGAUACAAUCUUGGCUGUCGUGAUGCCUAAAAAGCAUUGCAUAGCAAGGGCCGGGCAAGACCGGUGCCAGCCGCCGCGGUAACACCGGCGGCUCGAGUGGUAACCGCUAUUAUUGGGUCUAAAGGGUCUGUAGCCGGCCGGAUAAGUCUCUUGGGAAAUCCGACAGCUCAACUGUCGGGCUUUCAGGGGAUACUGUUCGGCUCGAGGCCGGGAGAGGUGAGAGGUACUUCAGGGGUAGGGGUGAAAUCUUGUAAUCCUUGAAGGACCACCAGUGGCGAAGGCGUCUCACCAGAACGGUCCUGACGGCAAGGGACGAAAGCUAGGGGCACGAACCGGAUUAGAUACCCGGGUAGUCCUAGCCGUAAACGAUACUCGCUAGGUGUCGGCCACGGUGCGACCGUGGUCGGUGCCGUAGGGAAGCCGUGAAGCGAGCCACCUGGGAAGUACGGCCGCAAGGCUGAAACUUAAAGGAAUUGGCGGGGGAGCAC
RNAcentral lists this ribosomal RNA (568 nucleotides) under uncultured archaeon. Its description in RNAcentral is "bacterial SSU rRNA". It matches the Rfam family "Archaeal small subunit ribosomal RNA", at positions 311 to 879 of the family's 1478-position model. The record is from RNAcentral.